RNAcentral lists this ribosomal RNA (467 nucleotides) under uncultured bacterium. Its description in RNAcentral is "bacterial SSU rRNA". It matches the Rfam family "Bacterial small subunit ribosomal RNA", at positions 32 to 507 of the family's 1533-position model. The record is from RNAcentral.
GACAACGCUGGCGGCAUGCUUAACACAUGCAAGUCGAACGGACUGAUUCCUUCGGGGAUGAAAGUUUAGUGGCGAACGGGUGAGUAAUGUAUGAGCAACCUGCCUCUGUCAACGGGAUACCUACUGGAAACGGUAGUUAAUACGGUAUAUGACCACAGCAUCGCAUGGUGCAGCGGUGAAAGAUUUUAUCGGACAGAGAUGAGCUUGCGUCUGAUUAGGUAGUUGGUGAGGUAACGGCCCACCAAGCCGACGAUCGGUAGCCGGACUGAGAGGGUGAACGGCCACAUUGGGACUGAGAUACGGCCCAGACUCCUACGGGAGGCAGCAGGUGGGGAAUAUUGGGCAAUGGGGGAGACCCUGACCCAGCAACGCCGCGUGAAGGAAGAAGGUUUUCGGAUUGUAAACUUCUGUCCUAUGAGACGAAGGAAGUGACGGUAUCAUAGGAGGAAGCCCCGGCUAACUACGUG